RNAcentral lists this ribosomal RNA (465 nucleotides) under uncultured bacterium. Its description in RNAcentral is "partial 16S ribosomal RNA". It matches the Rfam family "Bacterial small subunit ribosomal RNA", at positions 28 to 507 of the family's 1533-position model. The record is from RNAcentral.
GACGAACGCUGGCGGCGUGCUUAACACAUGCAAGUCGAACGGAAAGGCCCCCUUGUGGGGUACUCGAGUGGCGAACGGGUGAGUAACACGUGAGUAACCUACCCUUGACUUUGGGAUAACUUCAGGAAACUGGGGCUAAUACCGGAUAGGAGCUCCUGCUGCAUGGUGGGGGUUGGAAAGUUUCGGCGGUUGGGGAUGGGCUCGCGGCUUAUCAGCUUGUUGGUGGGGUAGUGGCUCACCAAGGCUUUGACGGGUAGCCGGCCUGAGAGGGUGACCGGCCACAUUGGGACUGAGAUACGGCCCAGACCCCUACGGGAGGCAGCAGUGGGGAAUAUUGCACAAUGGGCGGAAGCCUGAUGCAGCAACGCCGCGUGCGGGAUGACGGCCUUCGGGUUGUAAACCGCUUUCGCCUGUGACGAAGCGUGAGUGACGGUAAUGGGUAAAGAAGCACCGGCUAACUACGUG